GUUAGAGUGGCAGAGCCCGGUAAAUGCAGAAGGCCUAAGCCCUUCGCACAGAAGUUCAAAUCCUCUCCCUAACU
RNAcentral lists this transfer RNA (74 nucleotides) under Oneirodes bradburyae. Its description in RNAcentral is "tRNA-Leu". It matches the Rfam family "tRNA". From Rfam's summary of the family: Transfer RNA (tRNA) molecules are approximately 80 nucleotides in length. Their secondary structure includes four short double-helical elements and three loops (D, anti-codon, and T loops). Further hydrogen bonds mediate the characteristic L-shaped molecular structure. tRNAs have two regions of fundamental functional importance: the anti-codon, which is responsible for specific mRNA codon recognition, and the 3' end, to which the tRNAs corresponding amino acid is attached (by aminoacyl-tRNA synthetases). tRNAs cope with the degeneracy of the genetic code in two manners: having more than one tRNA (with a specific anti-codon) for a particular amino acid; and 'wobble' base-pairing, i.e. permitting non-standard base-pairing at the 3rd anti-codon position. Lineage: Eukaryota; Metazoa; Chordata; Actinopteri; Lophiiformes; Oneirodidae. The record is from RNAcentral.